This 421-nucleotide unclassified non-coding RNA is filed under the name soil metagenome. Its description in RNAcentral is "partial contains 5.8S ribosomal RNA, internal transcribed spacer 2, and large subunit ribosomal RNA". The stretch from base 1 to 120 matches the Rfam family "5.8S ribosomal RNA", at positions 35 to 154 of the family's 154-position model. The record is from RNAcentral.
GAUGAAGAACGUAGCGAAAUGCGAUACGUAAUGUGAAUUGCAGAAUUCAGUGAAUCAUCGAAUCUUUGAACGCAUAUUGCGCUCUUUGGUAUUCCGAAGAGCAUGCUUGUUUGAGUAUCAGUAAACACCUCAACCUCUUCUUGAUUUUUCAAAAGGAGGGUGGACUUGAGCUAUCCCAACAACCUUUACCGGUCGGCGGGCGGCUUGAAAUGCAGGUGCAGCUGGACUUUUAUCUGAGCUAAAAGCAUAUCUAUUUAGUCCUCGUCAAACAUGAUUAUUACUUUUGCUGCAGCUAACAUAAAGGAUAAUUGUCCUCUUUGCUGACUGAUGCAGGAUUUUACGACACUUUAUGUGUUGUUCAACUCAAUCUCAAAUCAAGUAAGACUACCCGCUGAACUUAAGCAUAUCAAUAAGCGGAGGA